UACGUAGGGUGCAAGCGUUAAUCGGAAUUACUGGGCGUAAAGCGUGCGCAGGCGGUUUUGUAAGUCUGACGUGAAAGCCCCGGGCUCAACCUGGGAAUUGCGAUGGAGACUGCAAGGCUAGAAUCUGGCAGAGGGGGGUAGAAUUCCACGUGUAGCAGUGAAAUGCGUAGAGAUGUGGAGGAACACCGAUGGCGAAGGCAGCCCCCUGGGUCAAGAUUGACGCUCAUGCACGAAAGCGUGGGGAGCAAACAGG
RNAcentral lists this ribosomal RNA (253 nucleotides) under uncultured bacterium. Its description in RNAcentral is "partial 16S ribosomal RNA". It matches the Rfam family "Bacterial small subunit ribosomal RNA", at positions 524 to 776 of the family's 1533-position model. The record is from RNAcentral.